ACGGGUGAGAAACGCGUAGGAAUUUGCCUUGUAGAGGGGGACAACCCGAGGAAACUCGGGCUAAUACCGCAUAAUACUCUUCGGAGGAAAGGUUAGGUAGUAAUAUCUGACGCUAUAAGAGAAGCCUGCGUCUGAUUAGCUAGUUGGUAGGGUAAAGGCCUACCAAGGCGAUGAUCGGUAGCUGGUCUGAGAGGAUGAUCAGCCACACUGGGACUGAGACACGGCCCAGACUCCUACGGGAGGCAGCAGUGGGGAAUAUUGGACAAUGGGGGCAACCCUGAUCCAGCAAUGCCGCGUGUGUGAAGAAGGCCUUCGGGUUGUAAAGCACUUUAGAUGGGGAAGAAGGUGUAUUGUUUAAGAGAUGAUACAUUUGACGGUACCCAUAGAAUAAGCACCGGCUAACUCUGUGCCAGCAGCCGCGGUAAUACAGAGGGUGCAAGCGUUAAUCGGAGUUACUGGGCGUAAAGGGCGCGUAGGCGGUCGUGUAAGUUGGAUGUGAAAUCCCUGGGCUUAACCUAGGAACUGCAUUCAAUACUGCAUGGCUAGAGUAUUGUAGAGGGUAGUGGAAUUUCCGGUG
This 577-nucleotide ribosomal RNA is filed under the name uncultured bacterium. Its description in RNAcentral is "bacterial SSU rRNA". It matches the Rfam family "Bacterial small subunit ribosomal RNA", at positions 102 to 675 of the family's 1533-position model. The record is from RNAcentral.